GGUUGAUCCUGCCAGUAGUCAUAUGCUUGUCUCAAAGAUUAAGCCAUGCAUGUCCAAGUAUAAACCAAUCUAUACGGUGAAACUGCGAAAGGCUCAUUAAAUCAGUUAUAGUUUAUUUGAUAGAGAUUUACUACAAGGAUAACCGUGGUAACCCAGAGCUAAUACAUGCACAGAGGCGCAAGCUUCGUAUUUAUUAGAUAGAACCAACGGCCACGGCCUUCAAGGUGAUUCACAAUAACUAAGCAGAUCGCAAGGCGCAUGCCGGCGACAGAUCAAUUAAAUGCCUGCCCUAU
This 293-nucleotide ribosomal RNA is filed under the name uncultured eukaryote. RNAcentral's name for it is "partial 18S ribosomal RNA". It matches the Rfam family "Eukaryotic small subunit ribosomal RNA", at positions 6 to 315 of the family's 1831-position model. The record is from RNAcentral.